CCUACGGGAGGCAGCAGUGGGGAAUAUUGCACAAUGGGGGAAACCCUGAUGCAGCGAAGCCGCGUGGAGGAAGAAGGUUUUCGGAUUGUAAACUCCUUUUAUCAGGGACGCAAAUGACGGUACCUGAAGAAAAAGCGCCGGCUAAAUACGGUCCAGCAGCCGCGGUAAGUCGGAGGGAUCGAGCGUUGACAGGAAUUACUGGGUGUAAAGGGAGCGUAGGCGGGACGGCAAGUCAGAUGGGAAAAAUGAGGGGUCAACUUUCGACCUGCAUUUGAAACUGCUGUUCUUGAGUGAAGUAGAGGUAAGCGGAAUGCCUAGUGUAGCGGUGAAAUGCGUAGAUAUUAGGAGGAACAUCGGUGGCGAAGGCGGCUUACUGGGCUUUUACUGACGCUGAGGCUCGAAAGCGUGGGGAGCAAACAGGAUUAGAUACCCGGGUAGUC
RNAcentral lists this ribosomal RNA (440 nucleotides) under uncultured bacterium. RNAcentral describes it as "partial 16S ribosomal RNA". It matches the Rfam family "Bacterial small subunit ribosomal RNA", at positions 338 to 795 of the family's 1533-position model. The record is from RNAcentral.